ACAAAGUACGACUCCGUACUUAUAUAUGUAAGAUUUUGUGAUGAGCAUGAUUAUUCUACACUUGCAUGUUGAGACUGCGGUCUGAUAAUUCUGUUGUGUGCAGAUUUUGCGACCCGGUGACGAGAGAUCAUGCUGUUUUCAUGUAUGUUACUUUUUCCUUAUCUUUAUUUAAUUUGCCUUUAUAUGAUGAGUGGGCAGAUCCAUCCAUGGCUGGCCUCCAGUUUGUAUUUUUUGUUUUGUUACAAUUAAUUUUGCAUCUUGUAUAAAGGCCUAAGAUUGAUCUUUUCUUGUCUCCCCUACACAGUUUGCUGGUCACGGCAGGGAAGUAUUCAACUCAAGCACAUCUAGAGGUUUCGAUGUCAAAAAACCUGUGGUGGUGCCAUCUAAAAGAUCAUCAGAAGCUGUAGUUGUGCCAUCUAAUACGAUUCUUACGAAAAACAGAUGUGAUGUUGUCGAAUCAAUGAUUUACCAGAUGCUUAUAACUUUUGUAAUUUUUAAACAUAUCAAUUUGUUU
Molecule: long non-coding RNA, 514 nt
Filed under: Prunus dulcis (almond)
Lineage: Eukaryota; Viridiplantae; Streptophyta; Magnoliopsida; Rosales; Rosaceae
Description: sRNA ncRNA
Source: RNAcentral